This is a non-coding RNA of Gasterosteus aculeatus aculeatus (three-spined stickleback), 2924 nucleotides long. NCBI's taxonomy places the organism in Eukaryota, Metazoa, Chordata, Actinopteri, Perciformes, Gasterosteidae. The record is from RefSeq and is a predicted model, not a curated record.
GUGUGUGUGUGUGUGUGUGUGUGUGUGUGUGUGUGUGUGUGUGUGUGUGUGUGUGUGUGUGUGUUUGAGACGACUAUUAACGCCACUAGUUCUAUUAUCCGCAGAUAAAGAUUUUUGCUGCUUCCUGUUCAGUGCUAAAGCGUCCGCUCACGUGUCCGCUCAGCAGCCGAGGACCCAGUGGCGUCUACCGAAGCCCUUUUCUGAAGUCGCGUCGAGCUCGUAUGUCGGCCGUGUGCAAAAUGUCGGUUUAAUUUAUUUUUGCAGCUCCUCAAUGGGCAUUUGAAAUUCCUCUGGGUUGAAGGACGCGUGCUGUUGCAACACGAGUGCGUUGUUUCAUCCAGGAUGUUUACAGUGAUUCACAACUCGCUCCGAUCAUAAACUGAACAUCCAACGUCGCAGUUUGCAGGGAUUAUAUUUGGAAGUAAGUGUUUUUGUUAUUUUUUUAUGUCUGUUUUGCGUGUUCUAGGCCUUUUACUCCUUUUUAAAAGGAUUUAUAGAAAAUCUUCUCUGUAACUGGACUACUUGGUUUGGUGUGUUUCUGUUACCAUAAAGACUCGAGUCUCAUUCAACUCAUUCAUAUCCAGUUCGUCCUCAUAUCGAUUCCACUCAGCAGGGACUGGAAUUGAUUCGCAGGUCAUGUGGUUAUUUUCUCCUGAUUGGCCGCCUUGUUAUAAACCUCGCAAUCGGCCCUCAGCAGAAGGGAAGACAAAUAUAUUGCAGCGCAUCGUUAAUUAAAAGAAAGGUACAGUUUUUCUUUUUUUUCUUCUUUUCUUUUUUUUUUUUUUAAAUCGAGCCGUGAGUUUCCAUGACAACGCUCUAGUGGCCUUGUAUCCCCUGAAGGUCUUGAGUGUUGAGCGCGAGCGGCAUCAUUUUCUCGUGUUUCUCUAUCACAUAUAACAUCCGUUCUAAUAAUAUUUCGUGGACAAAAGCACUUGAACUCAGUGGUGUGUUAAGCGUUUGAACGUUUCCGGUCCAACAUGUGUGAUUUACCACUGAAGAAUUAAGAUUAAGAGUGACAAGUAGAUUGAGUCCACUUUUGGGUUAUUGAUAAGCUGACAGUAUUGUGGGGCAUCUAUAGAACUACAAAGCAGUCCUACUAUGUCCGUACUGUGGUUAUCUUGCCCCAGGCUGCAUUCACUACUGAAAUAAUAAUUAUAUAUUUAUGAGCUGUGUACAUUUAUCUUUCUUUAUUUUUCAUGUUUAAAAGAGGAAUGUUUUUCUCUUUUUGGGAACUGAUUGAGUAAACCUGAACCAUUCAUGUGCUGUAAUUUCGGUUAUUUAUCCUGGUGUACAAAGUGCCAGUGGAUUAUUUAAUCCGGUUUGGUUUUCCAAAGAAAAAUAAUUUAAAUAAUCAAUUAAUACAAAACCCUUUUUUUUAUAUUCAUUCAAUCAUUUAAGUCACGUCUCAGUUCAAACUGCCAAACAUUUGCUCCAUUUAUCCCAGCUUCUUAUAAAGCCUCAUUCUAAAUUGAACAUUUGGGGGUUUUGGCCUUUUUGGACAAAACUCUAGAAAUUGGCAUUUGCACUUUCCCAGUAUUUUUUUUAUAUCAAUUAUUUUUACAUAAUGUAUCAACAAAUAAUGAACCAUUGAUCUCUGAUUUUAUCAGUUCCAGUAAAAAUGAAUUUUGUAAGCACCUAAAAAUGAAAGAAAUAUGACUUUAUAAGAUGCACAACUUAGAAAUGAAUGAAUAACCUCAUUGUAGCAGCCACAUCGGUACCGUUUGUAUACAAAGCCUUUGCUGCAGAAACCAGCUAAUAAAUAUUGUUCAAUGGGGGAUUUGUGUUGUUCCUCUAACACGCUGCCGGUACUCGUACCUGACAAACUGUUCCUAAAGUACGGUUUAAUAUCUGUUUUGCACAAAUCUACACAUAAUUCCACCAUUAACACCAGUAGUUUGAACACACAACCCACAGGUGGCACUCGACUAACACACACACACACACACACACACACAAAAGGCUCUUUUGGUAGAGUUUGGUGAGGGGGGGGGGGGUGUACGUGCUAUGAUGGAAGUGUGCGGUGCUACGGGUCCAUGUGGGACGCUGAAGUCUGGAGGUUGGGUGUAGAAUCACAAAGGACACACACACACACACACACACACGCGCACGCAGUUGUGUGUUAAAACAGGGCAGUUGUUCCGGGUGUUUUUAAGGGUUAGUGGGUCGGACAAAACGGAGACUUAUUUGUACUCAAUGUUGUUUCCACAGGCUCUUUCUGUUUUCACCCCCCCCCCCGAGCACUGAUGGCUUUCAUUCUUUGUCAUUUCCUCUCCGCUCGGCUCGCUGCCUCCGUCAGUUUGACCCGGUUGGUUCUUGCAAUCAUCUUGUGGUUAUUUUGUGUGUAUUUUUUUAUUAUUUGGUAUCCACUCCAACCAGUUGUAACUCUGUGGUCUUUUGGUUCAUCCGUCGUCUCGGCCGUUUGGUGCCUGCUCGGUUUCUCAGCAGUUUGACGGUGACGAAGGCCUCAAGCGGGCCGACGUCGCCGCAUUAUUCUUUUUUUUCUUUUUUUUUUCACCAUUUAUUUUCAAUUCCAAGCCCGCCGCACAUUCUCCGGACCAGAUCACUGUUACUACGAAGGCUUCUUGUCACGUAAACCUUGUUGGUUUACUCCUCGGUGGCAGCAGAUUCAGAUGUCGAUUAUCAGGUAAAAUGGGCACUUUUCUAAUAAUGUAAAAAUAAAAAAGUAUUGAAGGAUGUUGAUGGAGAGCAAAGAUAAGUGCGAGAUGACGUGUUCUAAAUGGGGUUUGAAAGAUGAUUCAUUGGUGCCUUUUUUUUAAUAGACAGUUUUGUACAACCCUUUUGUAUAGAUAACUAGUUAUUCUUAAAAUGUAAACAUAUUUUCUUGUUCAUUGCUGUGAAUAAUUUGUAAUUUGCUGCAUUGUUCUAAUACUUGUGUAAUAAAUAAGGCCUUUUUAUAAGUCUAA